This 525-nucleotide ribosomal RNA is filed under the name Fusarium equiseti. RNAcentral describes it as "eukaryotic LSU rRNA". The stretch from base 167 to 320 matches the Rfam family "5.8S ribosomal RNA". The record is from RNAcentral. Lineage: Eukaryota; Fungi; Ascomycota; Sordariomycetes; Hypocreales; Nectriaceae.
CUGCGGAGGGAUCAUUACCGAGUUUACAACUCCCAAACCCCUGUGAACAUACCUAUACGUUGCCUCGGCGGAUCAGCCCGCGCCCCGUAAAACGGGACGGCCCGCCCGAGGACCCCUAAACUCUGUUUUUAGUGGAACUUCUGAGUAAAACAAACAAAUAAAUCAAAACUUUCAACAACGGAUCUCUUGGUUCUGGCAUCGAUGAAGAACGCAGCAAAAUGCGAUAAGUAAUGUGAAUUGCAGAAUUCAGUGAAUCAUCGAAUCUUUGAACGCACAUUGCGCCCGCCAGUAUUCUGGCGGGCAUGCCUGUUCGAGCGUCAUUUCAACCCUCAAGCUCAGCUUGGUGUUGGGACUCGCGGUAACCCGCGUUCCCCAAAUCGAUUGGCGGUCACGUCGAGCUUCCAUAGCGUAGUAAUCAUACACCUCGUUACUGGUAAUCGUCGCGGCCACGCCGUAAAACCCCAACUUCUGAAUGUUGACCUCGGAUCAGGUAGGAAUACCCGCUGAACUUAAGCAUAUCAAUAA